UCCACGCCGUAAACGCUGUCUACUUGGAGGUUGAGGUUUAAGACUUUGGCUUUCGGCGCUAACGCAUUAAGUAGACCGCCUGGGGAGUACGGCCGCAAGGUUAAAACUCAAAUGAAUUGACGGGGGCCCGCACAAGCGGUGGAGCAUGUGGUUUAAUUCGAUGCAACGCGAAGAACCUUACCUACUCUUGACAUCCAGAGAACUUUCCWGAGAUGGAUUGGUGCCUUCGGGAGCUCUGAGACAGGUGCUGCAUGGCUGUCGUCAGCUCGUGUUGUGAAAUGUUGGGUUAAGUCCCGCAACGAGCGCAACCCUUAUCCUUGUUUGCCAGCACAUAAUGGUGGGAACUCCAGGGAGACUGCCGGUGAUAAACCGGAGGAAGGUGGGGACGACGUCAAGUCAUCAUGGCCCUUACGAGUAGGGCUACACACGUGCUNACACCAUGGGAGUGGGCUGCACCAGAAGUAGAUAGCUUAACCUUCGGGAGGGCGUUUACCACGGUGUGGUUCAUGACUGGGGUGAAGUCGUAACAAGGUAGCCCUAGGGGAACCUGGGGCUGGAUCACCUCCUUA
This 569-nucleotide ribosomal RNA is filed under the name Salinivibrio sharmensis. RNAcentral's name for it is "bacterial SSU rRNA". It matches the Rfam family "Bacterial small subunit ribosomal RNA", at positions 794 to 1533 of the family's 1533-position model. The record is from RNAcentral. Lineage: Bacteria; Pseudomonadati; Pseudomonadota; Gammaproteobacteria; Vibrionales; Vibrionaceae.